This 391-nucleotide ribosomal RNA is filed under the name uncultured bacterium. RNAcentral describes it as "bacterial SSU rRNA". It matches the Rfam family "Bacterial small subunit ribosomal RNA", at positions 8 to 429 of the family's 1533-position model. The record is from RNAcentral.
AGAGUUUGAUCCUGGCUCAGAACGAACGCUGGCGGCAGGCUUAACACAUGCAAGUCGAACGCUCCGCAAGGAGAGUGGCAGACGGGUGAGUAACGCGUGGGAACAUACCCCUCGGUUCGGAAUAACUCAGGGAAACUUGAGCUAAUACCGAAUACGGUCGAGAGGCGAAAGAUUUAUCGCCGAGGGAUUGGCCCGCGUCCGAUUAGCUAGUUGGUGAGGUAAUGGCUCACCAAGGCGACGAUCGGUAGCUGGUCUGAGAGGAUGAUCAGCCACAUUGGGACUGAGACACGGCCCAAACUCCUACGGGAGGCAGCAGUGGGGAAUAUUGGACAAUGGGCGAAAGCCUGAUCCAGCCAUGCCGCGUGAGUGAUGACGGCCUUAGGGUUGUAAA